AGUGAACGCUGGCGGUAGGCCUAACACAUGCAAGUCGAACGGCAGCACAGUAAGAGCUUGCUCUUACGGGUGGCGAGUGGCGGACGGGUGAGGAAUACAUCGGAAUCUACUUUUUCGUGGGGGAUAACGUAGGGAAACUUACGCUAAUACCGCAUACGACCUACGGGUGAAAGCAGGGGAUCUUCGGACCUUGCGCGAUUGAAUGAGCCGAUGUCGGAUUAGCUAGUUGGCGGGGUAAAGGCCCACCAAGGCGACGAUCCGUAGCUGGUCUGAGAGGAUGAUCGGCGACACUGGAACUGAGACACGGUCCAGGCGACUAAGGGAGGCAGCAGUGGGGAAUAUUGGGCAGUAGGCGCAAGCCUGAUCCAGCCAGACCGCGUGGGUGAAGAAGGCCUUCGGGUUGUAAAGCCCUUUUGUUGGGAAAGAAAAGCAGCAGGUUAAUACGCCGCUGUUGUGACGGUACCCAAAGAAUAAGCACCGGCUAACUACGUG
RNAcentral lists this ribosomal RNA (492 nucleotides) under uncultured bacterium. RNAcentral describes it as "partial 16S ribosomal RNA". It matches the Rfam family "Bacterial small subunit ribosomal RNA", at positions 29 to 507 of the family's 1533-position model. The record is from RNAcentral.